GGCGGGGCCGCGGGGCCUGGAAGCAGCCUCCGGGAUCUGCAAGUCUGGAAAGGCCACGUUGUGGACCUUGGCGCAGAGGUUAUGGGGGCGACCCGGAGCGGAUGGUUUCAGGAAAACUAGAACCCACCCUCAUGGCCUGAACAACUGGAGAGAAGAGGAUCGCAGCAAUUUAAAGCCAGCGGCAAGGAUCACAGUCCUGGGGAAUCACCUGGCGGUCUUGUGAAACUGCAGCUUCUAAUGGGCAAGUCAGAGGGGAAGCCUGAGACAUGGCAUUUCCAGCACGUUCGGGGAGUGAAGAUGCUGUCGGCUGCCACCCUCCCUGCAAGGAGCCAGGGGAUAGAUGACCUCUACGCAAACUCUCCCCUCAAUGGGAAGUAGAAUCUCUUUCUCCACCUCUUCAAUAUGGCUGGCCCUGGAACUUCCCUUGGCACACAGAAUGCAGCAGAAUUGGCUUCAUGUUGUUUCUAAGCCUUGGCCUCAGAGGCCUUGCAUGCUUCCUAACCCUGGCUCUAGGAAACUUGCUGCUGUCAUGUAAGCAAGCCCAGGCUAACCUACUGAAUGUUGGUGUGUCCCAGUCAAAUCCAGCACUGCAACCAAUAGCCAGGCAGCCACCAGACAUGUGAGUGGGGCCACCUCACACCAGCCAACCUCCACCAAGUCAUCAGAUGUAUGAGUGAGAACAGCCCAGAACAACUGAGCCCGUCCAGACCAGCGGAACAACCAAGCUGACCAGUAGACUUAGGAGCAGUAAACAGAUGAUUGUUAUGGAAGCCAUUCUGUUUAGGGUGUGUGUGUUAUUGCUUGCAUCCAAAUACAUCCUAUCUCAUCUAAUGAGAAAAGGCCCUGCUCAAGGGCUUUUGCAGCUGUAGUUGGGCGCCGGAAGUGUCUUUGUGGUCAUUUCUUACUCCAUACACGGGGAGAUCAAGGCUCAGACCAGGUAGUGUGACUGUGGACAACACUUUCCUUACCCCUCUGUGACACUUAAAUCAAUGAAGCAGAUUCACAGAAGCAUGCAUGCUCACUGAACACAGUAUUUGCAUUCCUACCUCCAAACCUUUGCUCCACCCAUGCAUCCAGUAAGAAUGCCUACUUCCCUCCUCUCCUCCAUCGAGUUCUUUCUUUGAGUUCUACCUUCCCUAGUCUUCCUCCACUGCACCAACCCACGGUGAUCCCUGUCUCUUCCAAAUGCUUUGUAACAUGGUAGGCAUCACUCACUUGUGACUCAUUGGACCAUUUUAAAACUUGGUUUUCUGUGUCUCUUUUCCAACAAAAUUACAAAUUCUUUGAGGGUAAAAGUCAGGCCUAAUAGUUCUCUGUACUCCUAGUAGUGCCAGUGUGGUAAAAAUUUAACUUGACAAUUAGCAAAACCAAUAAAUUCCUUACACUAUUCUGUUCCUGUAGGUAAUCAGUAUAUGAAUAUGGAUUCCUAUGUGAUGAUUUUCUGGUCUAUUUUGUCCCUUUUUUUUUUUUGUUACUUUAACCAGGCCAUAACAUAAAGGUUAUGCCAUUUGUUACUGUCAAGCUUAAUUAAGCCCAUUAUAAUUCGUUAACCCCUGUGCUUGCUUUGUAAUUAACAUUGAUUAACACAAACAAGUACAAAAUAGGCCAUCAGCACUUUCCAGAAGUGCUGAUUACAAUUACAUUGGUAAUUCAAUACGGUAUAGAAGAUGGCAGGAUAGUAACUUGCACUCUGUUUACAUAAGGAGACAAAUGCUACCAUGCAAAACUAAGCCAAGAAACAAAAUACUUUCCUCAUCCAACUCACUGAUUAAACCCUUACCCUGUUAACUCACCCUAUGACUGUGUAAACCUCCAGUAAGAUUAUUGAAGGCACAGCUCCAAGUAACUUGCUUAAUUGCAUUCCUGGGACAAAAGAGGGAAGCGCUUCAAAGCUGACAGACAGAUGGUAGAGUGUCCAGUCACAGCAAAGCAGGCCCCGAGGCUCAUGACAGACAACUCCAGGGCUGAGAUCUCAUUUGUAGCUCUGGGAUAAAGUCCAGGGUUUGAUGGCAGCAGGCUGAAGUGUAAAGAUGCUCAACAAUGCGCACCCCAGAGACACUGAAUCUGAAAAAGCUUAGAGUGAAUAAAAAUCUGGAAAUGAACUCUGUCUGUCUAUUCACCAUUCCCCCCAUAAAAAAAUUCCUAUAUUCCGGAUGGUGUUCAAGUUCCCUUUCCACAGGACCUCAGCAGUCAGGGAGGUGCUCCUGCAAUCUAUGUGAAGGAGAUUUCACCAUGCCCACAUGGGAAUACAGUAGAUUGCCAGUAGGGAUGCCACACCUUUGCAUUUCCUCGUAUUUCCAGGAACAAAGCUGGGGUGCCUAGGAGCUGCAGCAGUUUUUCUUCUGUGUAAAAUAAGCAAGCAGGACUCUGCCCCACUGCACUCCAGGGAAGGAUUAAGAGAAUUGAUAUCAUCCAAAUCAAUUGGCCCUGUGCAGAUGACUUGAUAAUGAGGCCAUUGAGUUUUUAUGGUUCACUAUUAUUGCUACAAAAAUUAUGCUGCAGAAAUCAUUCAAAUGCUCAAAAAGGAGCAUUAGUACGAAACUGGGUGUUCCAAAGUUGUUGCUGAGAGGUGUGUAAUGUUCCUGAAGAUCCCCAAGGCACUAAGACUUCUCUGUACAUGAAUGACUCAUAGAGAAGAAAUACACCAGAUGAAAAUAUAUGGAGAAGUUUGCCGAAUGUCAUAUAACUU
This 2689-nucleotide long non-coding RNA is filed under the name Homo sapiens (human). RNAcentral describes it as "HSALNT0264759". Lineage: Eukaryota; Metazoa; Chordata; Mammalia; Primates; Hominidae. The record is from RNAcentral.